UACGGAGGGUGCAAGCGUUGUUCGGAAUUACUGGGCGUAAAGCGCGUGUAGGCGGUUUUUUAUGUCGGGUGUGAAAGCCCUGGGCCUAACCCAGGAAGUGCGCUCGAAACUGAAAGACUUGAGUACGAGAGAGGAGGACGGAAUUCCUAGUGUAGAGGUGAAAUUCGUAGAUAUUAGGAAGAACACCGGUGGCGAAAGCG
This 200-nucleotide ribosomal RNA is filed under the name uncultured bacterium. RNAcentral describes it as "partial 16S ribosomal RNA". It matches the Rfam family "Bacterial small subunit ribosomal RNA", at positions 524 to 723 of the family's 1533-position model. The record is from RNAcentral.